Molecule: long non-coding RNA, 504 nt
Organism: Toxotes jaculatrix (banded archerfish)
Lineage: Eukaryota; Metazoa; Chordata; Actinopteri; Toxotidae
Exons: 3
Source: RefSeq, a predicted model, not a curated record
GUGAGGCUCUGGGAUCUCUGUCCUUCACUUUGGUGUUCCUGAGGGAGGACCUGAGCAAAAAGAGCUGAUGCUGUCACGGGUGACUCCUCUGUAAGUCUUCUUUUUGCUGGAUAACAGCGCUCGGGCCUGAUUUGUCUGCAUGCAUGGCCGACGCAGAGCAUCAUUUCCAUAACGGGCUUGUUUGUUGCCAUGGUGCCGGCGUCGAGCAUUAAGGUCCCAUUUACCGAAGGUGGAGUUAACCACUCAACACAUGGGAGGGCAGUAAAACACCAAUCUGCAUAUGAUAAAUGCAUCACCUCCUCCCACAUGCAUGAAGAAUCAGGAGAGGAAAAGACGAUUUAAGGAGAAACCCUGUUGUUUAGAGGGUUUUCAGUGUUCUGAUGAUCUGCACUAUGAAUGUCUAAUGUGAGUAUGAUGUUGGUGUAAUGACUGUCAUUCAGUGCUGGAGGAAAGGGCUGUGACUGCUCCUCUGACUGCACAGGAGCCACUACGAGAUGCUUUGAC